ACACACACACACACACACACACACACACACACACACACACACUUGACCUCAGUAAACAACCCAAUAAAGUAUUGUGUGAGCUGUUGGCUGUUGGCUAGACAGUUGGACUGGGGGUGUGAGAGAACCAGACAGUUGGACUGGGGGUGUGAGAGAACCAGACAGUUGGACUGGGCGUGUGAGAGAACCAGACAGUUGGACUGGGGAGUGAGAGAACCAGACAGUUGGACUGGGGGAGUGAGAGAACCAGACAGUUGGACUGGGGAGUGAGAGAACCAGACAGUUGGACUGGGGUGUGAGAGAACCAGACAGUUGGACUGGGGAGUGAGAGAACCAGACAGUUGGACUGGGGGUGUGAGAGAACCAGACAGUUGGACUGGGGGAGUGAGAGAACCAGACAGUUGGACUGGUGGAGUGAGAGAACCAGACAGUUGGACUGGUGGAGUGAGAGAACCAGACAGUUGGACUGGUGGAGUGAGAGAACCAGACAGUUGGACUGGUGGAGUGAGAGAACCAGACAGUUGGACUGGUGGAGUGAGAGAACCAGACAGUUGGACUGGGGGUGUGAGAGAACCAGACAGUUGGACUGGGGAGUGAGAGAACCAGACAGUUGGACUGGGGAGUGAGGGAACCAGACAGUUGGACUGGUGGAGGGAGAGAACCAGACAGUUGGACUGGGGUGUGAGAGAACCAGACAGUUGGACUGGGGAGUGAGAGAACCAAACAGUUGGACUGGGGGUGUGAGAGAACCAGACAGUUGGACUGGGGGAGUGAGAGAACCAGACAGUUGGACUGGGGAGUGAGAGAACCAGACAGUUGGACUGGGGUGUGAGAGAACCAGACAGUUGGACUGGUGGAGUGAGAGAACCAGACAGUUGGACUGGUGGAGGGAGAGAACCAGACAGUUGGACUGGGGGAGUGAGAGAACCAGACAGUUGGACUGGGGAGUGAGAGAACCAGACAGUUGGACUGGUGGAGUGAGAGAACCAGACAGUUGGACUGGGGGUGUGAGAGAACCAGACAGUUGGACUGGGGAGUGAGAGAACCAGACAGUUGGACUGGGGGAGUGAGAGAACCAGACAGUUGGACUGGGUGAGUGAGAGAGCCAGACAGUUGGACUGGGGGAGUGAGAGAACCAGACACUUGGACUGGGGGUGUGAGAGAACCAGACAGUUGGACUGGGGUGUGAGAGAACCAGACAGUUGGACUGGGGGAGUGAUAGAACCAGACAGUUGGACUGGGGGAGUGAGAGAACCUGACAGUUGGACUGGGGGAGUGAGAGAACCAAACAGUUGGACUGGGAGUGUGAGAGAACCAAACAGUUGGACUGGGGGUGUGAGAGAACCAGACAGUUGGACUGGGGGUGUGAGAGAACCAGACAGUUGGACUGGGGGAGUGAGAGAACCAGACAGUUGGACUGGGAGUGUGAGAGAACCAAACAGUUGGACUGGGGGUGUGAGAGAACCAGACAGUUGGACUGGGAGUGUGAGAGAACCAGACAGUUGGACUGGGAGUGUGAGAGAACCAGACAGUUGGACUGGGGGAGUGAGAGAACCAGACAGUUGGACUGGGGAGUGAGAGAACCAGACAGUUGGACUGGGGGUGUGAGAGAACCAGACAGUUGGACUGGUGGAGGGAGAGAACCAGACAGUUGGACUGGGGGAGUGAGAGAACCAGACAGUUGGACUGGGGGUGUGAGAGAACCAGACAGUUGGACUGGGGUGUGAGAGAACCAGACAGUUGGACUGGGGAGUGAGAGAACCAGACAGUUGGACUGGUGGAGUGAGAGAACCAGACAGUUGGACUGGGGGUGUGAGGGAACCAGACAGUUGGACUGGGAGUGUGAGAGAACCAGACAGUUGGACUGGGGGUGUGAGAGAACCAGACAGUUGGACUGGGGAGUGAGAGAACCAGACAGUUGGACUGGGGGAGUGAGAGAACCAGACAGUUGGACUGGGUGAGUGAGAGAGCCAGACAGUUGGACUGGGGGAGUGAGAGAACCAGACAGUUGGACUGGGGGUGUGAGAGAACCAGACAGUUGGACUGGGGUGUGAGAGAACCAGACAGUUGGACUGGGGGAGUGAUAGAACCAGACAGUUGGACUGGGGGAGUGAGAGAACCUGACAGUUGGACUGGGGGAGUGAGAGAACCAAACAGUUGGACUGGGAGUGUGAGAGAACCAAACAGUUGGACUGGGGGUGUGAGAGAACCAGACAGUUGGACUGGGGGUGUGAGAGAACCAGACAGUUGGACUGGGGGAGUGAGAGAACAAGACAGUUGGACUGGGGGUGUGAGAGAACCAAACAGUUGGACUGGGGGUGUGAGAGAACCAGACAGUUGGACUGGGAGUGUGAGAGAACCAGACAGUUGGACUGGGGAGUGAGAGAACCAGACAGUUGGACUGGGGGUGUGAGAGAACCAGACAGUUGGACUGGGGGUGUGAGAGAACCAGACAGUUGGACUGGGGGAGUGAGAGAACCAGACAGUUGGACUGGGAGUGUGAGAGAACCAAACAGUUGGACUGGGGGUGUGAGAGAACCAGACAGUUGGACUGGGAGUGUGAGAGAACCAGACAGUUGGACUGGGGAGUGAGAGAACCAGACAGUUGGACUGGGGGUGUGAGAGAACCAGACAGUUGGACUGGGGGAGUGAGAGAACCAGACAGUUGGACUGGGGAGUGAGAGAACCAGACAGUUGGACUGGGGGUGUGAGAGAACCAGACAGUUGGACUGGGGGAGUGAGAGAACCAGACAGUUGGACUGGUGGUGUGAGAGAACCAGACAGUUGGACUGGGGUCUGAGAGAACCAGAGGAAUCUGAGGUGGAGCCAUAGGAGUGGCUGUCAUUGUACUGCAGUAACACAAAAAUAAAAGGUAUGUGUGAGGGUGUGUGCAUGUGUGUGUGUGUGCGUGUGUGUGUGUGUGUGUGAGUGAGAGAGAGGAUGUGUGUGAGCUUGUGUGUGUGUGUGUGAGAGGGUCUGUCUGUGACCGCAUUCCUCAGAGGGAGGGGUCACACACACAAAUGUGAAUACACCAUGCUUUCUGAGCGAUCCCUAAUCUUCCUGUCUAGGCAGGUAGCAUUAAGCCUUAUUUUAGUGUGGCCAUUGUUCAUGUUUGUCUCUGGUGGUUCAGGGGUAGAUAUGCGAGCAGCACUAAAGUAAUUAGGUUAGUGUGCUGUUACAAUUGAAGACGUGUCACACACACACACACACACACACACACACACACACACACACACACACACACACACACACACACACACACACACACACACACACACACACACACACACACACACACACCUUUCUGAACAGCUGGUAACUGGGGGAGGGCAAGGCGACCACAGAAGGUGACUCUAAACACAGGCGACCGCAGAAGGUGACUCUAAACACAGGCGACCGCAGAAGGUGACUCUAAACACAGGCGACUGAAGCCUACUGUCCAUUCAGAAAACCUGCUCUUCUUUCAAGCAAUAAGAUUGUCCGCUCAGACUGCCCAUUCAUAAAGAAACACGCACUGAGUUACAGUAUAUACAUUCACUUCCCCUUCUACAACCCGACCCCUCCCUCCCAUCUCCUCGUGCUCGGAGUUCAUUCAUGCUUUCUGCCACUGGGCAAAAGGAUUGGACUGUACCAUUUACCCCAAUUUAUAGGGGAGACAACAUGACAGAGGAAGGGGGGGGUCGAUAGACAGGAAACUAUACAACAUUCUUAUUCUCUACUACAUACAGUAUCAACCCAACAGAACAAGUCAAUGACUGCAUAGAACCAAUAAAACAGACGUUAGCAACACAAUGACUGAUAUCCUAAUGAAUUUCUUUGUAUUACUUGUGCCCUAUACUGUGCCCUUCACAGCUUAUUUAAAUAACUCACAUUUGGAGACAGCAUAAGAACUCUGUCAUACUUCUGUAUCCAUGUAAUUCUAUCAAUGUACAAGCUAUACACGCUAUUACACUCUAUGACUAUGUAACAGCUAUGUAACAGUUAUAUAACAGCUAUGUGACAGUGAAUCAGCUAUGUAACAGUUAUAUAACAGCUAUGUAACAGUGAAUCAGCUAUGUAACAGUUAUAUAACAGCUAUGUAACAGUGAAUCAGCUAUGUAACAGUUAUAUAACAGCUAUGUAACAGUGAAUCAGCUAUGUAACAGCUAAAUAACAGUUAUGCAAUAGCUAUGUAACAGUGAAUCAGCUAUGUAACAGCUAAAUAACAGUUAUGCAAUAGCUAUGUAACAGUGAAUCAGCUAUGUAACAGCUAAAUAACAGUUAUGCAAUAGCUAUGUAACAGUGAAUCAGCUAUGUAACAGCUAAAUAACAGUUAUGCAAUAGCUAUGUAACAGUGAAUCAGCUAUGUAACAGCUUUGUAACAGCUAAAUAACAGUUAUGUAACAGCUAUGUAACAGUGAAUCAGCUGUGUUUUAAUCUGAGUAAUCUAAUAACACUCUGAGGUAACAUUCACACGAGUAGUCUCUAUUCAAUCCAGCACAGCUCCAAUACAUUACAGUAAAUCACUACUAUAUCUCACUGAGCUUUCAGCUAGAGUACCUCACACAAAUAUAAACACAUCAUCCUAUUAUUACAGGGCUGACAGAGAAAGGAUUUCUGUCACAAAGAUGCCAUUCUUUUCUAAAUGCAGUGUCUAUUUCUAUUCAAUAAGAAAUGUGUAAUUGUGAGUUUUCCUCUAGUCUGGUCUGACUAUAGAGGAUCAGUGAGCGUUUUCUCAGCCUUAACGUGGACCAUAUGAUAUCCAUCAGAAGCAGCAGUGCUAACUGGGACUUUUUUCCCCCACUUACCUACUCAGAGCAUUUC
RNAcentral lists this long non-coding RNA (4800 nucleotides) under Salmo salar (Atlantic salmon). Its description in RNAcentral is "lncRNA (ENSSSAG00000120744.1)". Lineage: Eukaryota; Metazoa; Chordata; Actinopteri; Salmoniformes; Salmonidae. The record is from RNAcentral.